This 502-nucleotide ribosomal RNA is filed under the name uncultured bacterium. RNAcentral's name for it is "bacterial SSU rRNA". It matches the Rfam family "Bacterial small subunit ribosomal RNA", at positions 32 to 507 of the family's 1533-position model. The record is from RNAcentral.
GACGCUGGCGGCGUGCCUAAUACAUGCAAGUUGAACGCAACAAAGACACCAGAGCUUGCUCUUACCGUCUUUGUUGAGUAGCGAACGGGUGAGUAACGCGUGGGUAACCUGCCUUAUAGCGGGGGAUAACUAUUGGAAACGAUAGCUAAUACCGCAUAACAAUAGAGAUUGCAUAAUCUUUAUUUGAAAGUGCCAACUGGUACACUAUGAGAUGGACCCGCGUUGUAUUAGCUAGUUGGUAGUGUAAUGGACUACCAAGGCGAUGAUACAUAGCCGACCUGAGAGGGUGAUCGGCCACAUUGGGACUGAGACACGGCCCAAACUCCUACGGGAGGCAGCAGUGGGGAAUCUUCGGCAAUGGACGAAAGUCUGACCGAGCAACGCCGCGUGAGUGAAGAAGGUUUUCGGAUCGUAAAACUCUGUUGUUAGAGAAGAAUGUUGAUUAGAGUGGAAAAUUAAUCAAGUGACGGUAUCUAACCAGAAAGGGACGGCUAACUACGUG